UGCGUAGGCGGUCCUAUAAGUAUGGUGUGAAAUCUCCCGGCUUAACUGGGAGGGUGCGCUAUAGACUGUGGGACUAGAGUAUGGGAGAGGAAAGUGGAAUUCCUGGUGUAGCGGUGAAAUGCGUAGAUAUCAGGAGGAACACCGGUGGUGUAAACGGCUUUCUGGACCAUAACUGACGCUGAGGCACGAAAGCGUGGGUAGCAAACAGGAUUAGAUACCCUGGUAGUCCACGCCCUAAACGAUGCAUAUUUGGUGUGGGUCAUUCAGUUGAUCCGUGCCGGAGCUAACGCGUUAAAUAUGCCGCCUGGGGAGUACAGUCGCAAGGCUGAA
This 330-nucleotide ribosomal RNA is filed under the name uncultured bacterium. Its description in RNAcentral is "bacterial SSU rRNA". It matches the Rfam family "Bacterial small subunit ribosomal RNA", at positions 568 to 898 of the family's 1533-position model. The record is from RNAcentral.